This 837-nucleotide small RNA is filed under the name Pan troglodytes (chimpanzee). Its description in RNAcentral is "retained intron". Lineage: Eukaryota; Metazoa; Chordata; Mammalia; Primates; Hominidae. The record is from RNAcentral.
UAAGGCUCUUCAAAGGAUAAUUGGGCCUUUUCAGCAGCAGCUGUACUCACUGAUGUACUCAUAAAGAGGAAUCACUACUUGGAGAAAUUCUUCAGGAUACAAUACAGUACAGUUUUAAUGUAUCUGAAAGCCACAGACAUUUACAUGCAAACCAGCCAGAAUGGGGUAGGAGAGUAGUCACAUUGUGAGACCUGUGAAAGCUGCUUUUGUGUAUUUAGCUGAUUGUUUGCCUCUGUCUACAGCCAAUGAUGUGCACUCGUCCUCAGGACCCAAGGAGUACCUUGGAAUGCUGCAGUACAAGAGAGAAGACGAGGCCAAGCUCAUUCAGAACCUCAUUCUUGACUUGAAGCCCCGUGGCGUGGUGGUGAACAUGAUCCCCGGGCUGCCGGCUCAUAUCCUGUUCAUGUGUGUGCGCUACGCAGACUCUCUGAAUGAUGCCAACAUGCUGAAGUCCCUCAUGAACAGCACCAUUAAUGGCAUCAAGCAGGUGGUUAAGGAACAUUUAGAAGACUUUGAAAUGCUGUCCUUUUGGCUUUCCAACACUUGUCAUUUUCUCAAUUGCCUGAAGCAGUACAGCGGAGAAGAGGAAUUCAUGAAGCAUAGUAGUCCACAGCAGAAUAAGAAUUGCUUGAACAAUUUUGACCUUUCAGAAUACAGACAGAUUCUCAGUGAUGUGGCUAUACGAAUAUAUCAUCAAUUUAUUAUCAUAAUGGAAAAGAAUAUCCAACCGAUAAUAGUUCCGGGAAUGCUGGAGUAUGAGAGCCUGCAGGGCAUUUCCGGCCUGAAGCCCACAGGCUUCCGGAAGCGCUCCUCCAGCAUAGACGACACGGACGGCUA